This 105-nucleotide non-coding RNA is filed under the name Xylophilus sp. RNAcentral's name for it is "Glycine sequence". It matches the Rfam family "Glycine riboswitch aptamer". Rfam says of the family: This family represents the bacterial glycine riboswitch. Glycine riboswitches usually consist of two metabolite-binding aptamers domains with similar structures in tandem. Lineage: Bacteria; Pseudomonadati; Pseudomonadota; Betaproteobacteria; Burkholderiales. The record is from RNAcentral.
AUCCCGCCUGCAGGAGAGCGAAUGGCGGCCACGCCCCCAUUCCACCGAAGGCGCAAACUCCCAUGAACGCUCAGGUGGGCCGUCACGCAAGACGGCCUGGGUACU